This 564-nucleotide ribosomal RNA is filed under the name Staphylococcus aureus. Its description in RNAcentral is "partial 23S ribosomal RNA". It matches the Rfam family "Bacterial large subunit ribosomal RNA", at positions 755 to 1323 of the family's 2925-position model. The record is from RNAcentral. Lineage: Bacteria; Bacillati; Bacillota; Bacilli; Caryophanales; Staphylococcaceae.
GGUAACACUGAAUGGAGGACCGAACCGACUUACGUUGAAAAGUGAGCGGAUGAACUGAGGGUAGCGGAGAAAUUCCAAUCGAACCUGGAGAUAGCUGGUUCUCUCCGAAAUAGCUUUAGGGCUAGCCUCAAGUGAUGAUUAUUGGAGGUAGAGCACUGUUUGGACGAGGGGCCCCUCUCGGGUUACCGAAUUCAGACAAACUCCGAAUGCCAAUUAAUUUAACUUGGGAGUCAGAACAUGGGUGAUAAGGUCCGUGUUCGAAAGGGAAACAGCCCAGACCACCAGCUAAGGUCCCAAAAUAUAUGUUAAGUGGAAAAGGAUGUGGCGUUGCCCAGACAACUAGGAUGUUGGCUUAGAAGCAGCCAUCAUUUAAAGAGUGCGUAAUAGCUCACUAGUCGAGUGACACUGCGCCGAAAAUGUACCGGGGCUAAACAUAUUACCGAAGCUGUGGAUUGUCCUUUGGACAAUGGUAGGAGAGCGUUCUAAGGGCGUUGAAGCAUGAUCGUAAGGACAUGUGGAGCGCUUAGAAGUGAGAAUGCCGGUGUGAGUAGCGAAAGACGGGUG